GCUUCGACGGGUAGCCGGCCUGAGAGGGUGACCGGCCACACUGGGACUGAGACACGGCCCAGACUCCUACGGGAGGCAGCAGUGGGGAAUAUUGGACAAUGGGCGGAAGCCUGAUCCAGCAACGCCGCGUGAGGGAUGACGGCCUUCGGGUUGUAAACCUCUUUCAGCACAGACGAAGCGCAAGUGACGGUAUGUGCAGAAGAAGGACCGGCCAACUACGUGCCAGCAGCCGCGGUAAUACGUAGGGUCCGAGCGUUGUCCGGAAUUAUUGGGCGUAAAGGGCUCGUAGGCGGUCUGUCGCGUCGGGAGUGAAAACCAGGUGCUUAACACCUGGCCUGCUUUCGAUACGGGCAGACUAGAGGUACUCAGGGGAGAAUGGAAUUCCUGGUGUAGCGGUGAAAUGCGCAGAUAUCAGGAGGAACACCGGUGGCGAAGGCGGUUCUCUGGGAGUAUCCUGACGCUGAGGAGCGAAAGUGUGGGGAGCGAACAGGAUUAGAUACCCUGGUAGUCCACACCGUAAACGUUGGGCGCUAGGUGUGGGAUCCAUUCCACGGGUUCCGUGCCGCAGCUAACGCAUUAAGCGCCCCGCCUGGG
This 594-nucleotide ribosomal RNA is filed under the name Nocardioides sp. MS10. RNAcentral describes it as "bacterial SSU rRNA". It matches the Rfam family "Bacterial small subunit ribosomal RNA", at positions 273 to 877 of the family's 1533-position model. Lineage: Bacteria; Bacillati; Actinomycetota; Actinomycetes; Propionibacteriales; Nocardioidaceae. The record is from RNAcentral.